Molecule: ribosomal RNA, 492 nt
Filed under: uncultured soil bacterium
Lineage: Bacteria
Description: bacterial SSU rRNA
Rfam family: Bacterial small subunit ribosomal RNA
Source: RNAcentral
AGAGUGAACGCUGGCGGUAGGCCUAACACAUGCAAGUCGAACGGCAGCACAGUGGUAGCAAUACCAUGGGUGGCGAGUGGCGGACGGGUGAGGAAUACAUCGGAAUCUACCUUUUCGUGGGGGAUAACGUAGGGAAACUUACGCUAAUACCGCGUACGCCCUUCGGGGGAAAGCCGGGGAUCGCAAGACCUGGCGCGGAUAGAUGAGCCGAUGUCGGAUUAGCUAGUUGGUGAGGUAAUGGCUCACCAAGGCGACGAUCCGUAGCUGGUCUGAGAGGAUGAUCAGCCACACUGGAACUGAGACACGGUCCAGACUCCUACGGGAGGCAGCAGUGGGGAAUAUUGGACAAGUGGGCGCAAGCCUGAUCCAGCCAUACCGCGUGGGUGAAGAAGGCCUUCGGUUAGUAACGUCCCUUUGGUUAGGAAAGAAAGACAAGUCGGUUAAGUACCCGGUCGUUCGUGACCGUACCAAAGAAUAAGACACCGGACUAAC